AACGAACGCUGGCGGCAUGCCUAACACAUGCAAGUCGAACGAGACCUUCGGGUCUAGUGGCGCACGGGUGCGUAACGCGUGGGAACCUGCCCUUAGGUUCGGAAUAACUCACCGAAAGGGGUGCUAAUACCGGAUAAUGUCUUAGGACCAAAGAUUUAUCGCCUUUGGAUGGGCCCGGGUUGGAUUAGCUAGUUGGUAGGGUAAAAGCCUACCAAGGCGACGAUCCAUAGCUGGUCUGAGAGGAUGACCAGCCACACUGGGACUGAGACACGGCCCAGACCCGGACGGGAGGGAGCAGUGGGGAAUAUAGGGCGAUGGGCGAAAGCCUGGUCCCGCAAUGCCGCGUGUGUGAUGAAGGCGUUAGGGUUGUAAAGCUCUUUUACCCGGGAUGAUAAUGACAGUACCGGGAGAAUAAGCUCCGGCUAACUCCGUG
This 433-nucleotide ribosomal RNA is filed under the name uncultured bacterium. RNAcentral's name for it is "partial 16S ribosomal RNA". It matches the Rfam family "Bacterial small subunit ribosomal RNA", at positions 29 to 507 of the family's 1533-position model. The record is from RNAcentral.